RNAcentral lists this ribosomal RNA (253 nucleotides) under uncultured bacterium. Its description in RNAcentral is "partial 16S ribosomal RNA". It matches the Rfam family "Bacterial small subunit ribosomal RNA", at positions 524 to 776 of the family's 1533-position model. The record is from RNAcentral.
UACAGAGGGUGCGAGCGUUGUCCGGAAUCACUGGGCGUAAAGGGCGUGUAGGCGGCUUGCUAAGCCAUGUGUGAAAUCCCGGGGCUCAACCCCGGAACGGCACGUGGGACUGGCAGGCUCGAGAAUGGUAGAGGCGAGUGGAAUUCCUGGUGUAGCGGUGGAAUGCGUAGAGAUCAGGAAGAACACCGGUGGCGAAGGCGGCUCGCUGGGCCAUUUCUGACGCUGAGGCGCGAAAGCGUGGGGAGCAAACAGG